Molecule: ribosomal RNA, 425 nt
Filed under: uncultured bacterium
Lineage: Bacteria
Description: partial 16S ribosomal RNA
Rfam family: Bacterial small subunit ribosomal RNA
Source: RNAcentral
GUGGGGAAUCUUGGGCAAUGGGGGAAACCCUGACCCAGCGACGCCGCGUGAGGGAAGAAGGUCUUCGGAUCGUAAACUUCUAUCCUUGGUGAAGAUAAUGACGGUAGCCGAGAAGGAAGCCCCGGCUAACUACGUGCCAGCAGCCGCGGUAAUACGUAGGGGGCAAGCGUUGUCCGGAAUGAUUGGGCGUAAAGGGCGCGUAGGCGGCCUGGUAAGUCUGGUGUGAAAGUCCUGCUUUUAAGGUGGGAAUUGCUUUGGAUACUGUCGGGCUUGAGUGCAGGAGAGGUAAGUGGAAUUCCCGGUGUAGCGGUGAAAUGCGUAGAGAUCGGGAGGAACACCAGUGGCGAAGGCGACUUACUGGACUGUAACUGACGCUGAGGCGCGAAAGUGUGGGGAGCAAACAGGAUUAGAAACCCUUGUAGUCC